GCUUAACACAUGCAAGUCGAGGGGCAGCGGGGGUAGCGAUACCCGCCGGCGACCGGCGCACGGGUGAGUAACGCGUAUGCAACUUGCCUAUCAGAGGGGGAUAACCCGGCGAAAGUCGGACUAAUACCGCAUGAAGCAGGGGCCCCGCAUGGGGAUAUUUGCUAAAGAUUCAUCGCUGAUAGAUAGGCAUGCGUUCCAUUAGGCAGUUGGCGGGGUAACGGCCCACCAAACCGACGAUGGAUAGGGGUUCUGAGAGGAAGGUCCCCCACAUUGGUACUGAGACACGGACCAAACUCCUACGGGAGGCAGCAGUGAGGAAUAUUGGUCAAUGGCCGAGAGGCUGAACCAGCCAAGUCGCGUGAGGGAUGAAGGUUCUAUGGAUCGUAAACCUCUUUUAUAAGGGAAUAAAGUGCGGGACGUGUCCCGUUUUGUAUGUACCUUAUGAAUAAGGAUCGGCUAACUCCGUGCCAGCAGCCGCGGUAAUACGGAGGAUCCGAGCGUUAUCCGGAUUUAUUGGGUUUAAAGGGUGCGUAGGCGGCCUUUUAAGUCAGCGGUGAAAGUCUGUGGCUCAACCAUAGAAUUGCCGUUGAAACUGGGGGGCUUGAGUAUGUUUGAGGCAGGCGGAAUGCGUGGUGUAGCGGUGAAAUGCAUAGAUAUCACGCAGAACCCCGAUUGCGAAGGCAGCCUGCCAAGCCAUUACUGACGCUGAUGCACGAAAGCGUGGGGAUCAAACAGGAUUAGAUACCCUGGUAGUCCACGCAGUAAACGAUGAUCACUAGCUGUUUGCGAUACACUGUAAGCGGCACAGCGAAAGCGUUAAGUGAUCCACCUGGGGAGUACGCCGGCAACGGUGAAACUCAAAGGAAUUGACGGGGGCCCGCACAAGCGGAGGAACAUGUGGUUUAAUUCGAUGAUACGCGAGGAACCUUACCCGGGUUUGAACGCAUUCGGACCGAGGUGGAAACACCUUUUCUAGCAAUAGCCGUUUGCGAGGUGCUGCAUGGUUGUCGUCAGCUCGUGCCGUGAGGUGUCGGCUUAAGUGCCAUAACGAGCGCAACCCUUGCCACUAGUUACUAACAGGUAAAGCUGAGGACUCUGGUGGGACUGCCAGCGUAAGCUGCGAGGAAGGCGGGGAUGACGUCAAAUCAGCACGGCCCUUACAUCCGGGGCGACACACGUGUUACAAUGGCGUGGACAAAGGGAGGCCACCUGGCGACAGGGAGCGAAUCCCCAAACCACGUCUCAGUUCGGAUCGGAGUCUGCAACCCGACUCCGUGAAGCUGGAUUCGCUAGUAAUCGCGCAUCAGCCAUGGCGCGGUGAAUACGUUCCCGGGCCUUGUACACACCGCCCGUCAAGCCAUGGGAGCCGGGGGUACCUGAAGUCCGUAACCGAAAGGAUCGGCCUAGGGUAAAACUGGUGACUGGGGCUAAGUCGUA
This 1437-nucleotide ribosomal RNA is filed under the name uncultured organism. RNAcentral describes it as "16S ribosomal RNA". It matches the Rfam family "Bacterial small subunit ribosomal RNA". The record is from RNAcentral.